This 468-nucleotide ribosomal RNA is filed under the name uncultured bacterium. Its description in RNAcentral is "partial 16S ribosomal RNA". It matches the Rfam family "Bacterial small subunit ribosomal RNA", at positions 28 to 507 of the family's 1533-position model. The record is from RNAcentral.
GACGAACGCUGGCGGCGUGCUUAACACAUGCAAGUCGAACGGAAAGGCCCUGCGUUUGUGGUGUGCUCGAGUGGCGAACGGGUGAGUAACACGUGGGUAACCUGCCCUUGACUUUGGGAUAACUUCAGGAAACUGGGGCUUAUACCGGAUAGUUGCUCCUGCUUCAUGGUGGGGGUUGGAAAGUUUCGGCGGUUGGGGAUGGACUCGCGGCUUAUCAGCUUGUUGGUGGGGUAGGGGCUUACCAAGGCUUUGACGGGUAGCCGGCCUGAGAGGGUGACCGGCCAGAUUGGGACGGAGGUACGGCACAGACUAAUACGGGAGGCAGCGGUGGGGAGUGGUGCACAAUGGGAGGGAGGAUGAUGUGGCAACGCGGGGUGCGGGAUGAGGGGAUGCGGGUUGUAAAGUGAUUUCGCAUGUGCAGAAGCGUGAGUGACGGUACUGGGGAAAGAAGCACCGGCUAACUACGUG